UGGGGAAUAUUGCACAAUGGGCGAAAGCCUGAUGCAGCAACGCCGCGUGAGUGAUGAAGGCCUUCGGGUUGUAAAGCUCUGUCUUUUGGGACGAUAAUGACGGUACCAAAGGAGGAAGCCACGGCUAACUACGUGCCAGCAGCCGCGGUAAUACGUAGGUGGCAAGCGUUGUCCGGAUUUACUGGGCGUAAAGGAUGCGUAGGCGGAUUUUUAAGUGAGAUGUGAAAUACCCGGGCUUAACUUGGGUGCUGCAUUUCAAACUGGGAAUCUAGAGUGCGGGAGAGGAGAAUGGAAUUCCUAGUGUAGCGGUGAAAUGCGUAGAGAUUAGGAAGAACACCAGUGGCGAAGGCGAUUCUCUGGACCGUAACUGACGCUGAGGCAUGAAAGCGAGGGUAGCAAACAGGAUUAGAUACCCUGGUAGUCCACGCCGUAAAACGAUGAGUACUAGGUGUAGGAGGUAUCGACCCCUUCUGUGCCGCAGUUAACACAAUAAGUACUCCGCCUGGGAAGUACGAUCGCAAGA
This 523-nucleotide ribosomal RNA is filed under the name uncultured bacterium. Its description in RNAcentral is "partial 16S ribosomal RNA". It matches the Rfam family "Bacterial small subunit ribosomal RNA", at positions 355 to 893 of the family's 1533-position model. The record is from RNAcentral.